CAGCCGCCACGGGAAUACAGAGGGUGCGAGCGUUAAUCGGAUUUACUGGGCGUAAAGCGUGCGUAGGCGGCUUCUUAAGUCGGAUGUGAAAUCCCUGAGCUUAACUUAGGAAUUGCAUUCGAUACUGGGAAGCUAGAGUAUGGGAGAGGAUGGUAGAAUUCCAGGUGUAGCGGUGAAAUGCGUAGAGAUCUGGAGGAAUACCGAUGGCGAAGGCAGCCAUCUGGCCUAAUACUGACGCUGAGGUACGAAAGCAUGGGGAGCAAACAGGAUUAGAUACCCGGGUAGUCCCUGUCUCUUAUAA
RNAcentral lists this ribosomal RNA (301 nucleotides) under uncultured bacterium. RNAcentral describes it as "partial 16S ribosomal RNA". It matches the Rfam family "Bacterial small subunit ribosomal RNA", at positions 509 to 809 of the family's 1533-position model. The record is from RNAcentral.